UAGGGAAUCUUCCACAAUGGACGCAAGUCUGAUGGAGCAACGCCGCGUGAGUGAAGAAGGUCUUCGGAUCGUAAAACUCUGUUGUUAGAGAAGAACACGAGUGAGAGUAACUGUUCAUUUCGAUGACGGUAUCUAACCAGCAAGUCACGGCUAACUACGUGCCAG
This 165-nucleotide ribosomal RNA is filed under the name uncultured bacterium. RNAcentral describes it as "partial 16S rRNA". It matches the Rfam family "Bacterial small subunit ribosomal RNA", at positions 355 to 511 of the family's 1533-position model. The record is from RNAcentral.